Molecule: ribosomal RNA, 427 nt
Filed under: uncultured bacterium
Lineage: Bacteria
Description: bacterial SSU rRNA
Rfam family: Bacterial small subunit ribosomal RNA
Source: RNAcentral
UGGGGAAUCUUGCACAAUGCGCGAAAGCGUGAUGCAGCAACGCCGCGUGGGGGAAGACGGCCUUCGGGUUGUAAACCCCUUUCAGUUGGGACGAAGCUUCGUCGGUGAAUAGCCGGUUGGAGUGACGGUACCUUCAGAAGAAGCCCCGGCUAACUACGUGCCAGCAGCCGCGGUAAUACGUAGGGGGCAAGCGUUGUCCGGAAUCAUUGGGCGUAAAGCGCGUGUAGGCGGCUCGAUAAGUCUGCUGUGAAAGUCCAGGGCUCAACCCUGGGAUGCCGGUGGAUACUGUCGAGCUCGAGUCCGGAAGAGGCGAGUGGAAUUCCUGGUGUAGCGGUGAAAUGCGCAGAUAUCAGGAGGAACACCAAUGGCGAAGGCAGCUCGCUGGGACGUGACUGACGCUGAGACGCGAAAGCGUGGGGAGCAAACA